AGGCCACCUGCUCGGGGAGACUUGUGCCAGACCUCAUCCCAGGGAUGGGCAGGGAGUGAGGAAGACUGGAGAGAAACCAGACAGUCCGAUCUCCCGAAAUCGGUCGUUGGUUCUCCUCCGAGUUGACCACGGAUCGCCCCUCCCCCCAUGCUCUCAGCACUGAUGUGUGGCAGGAGUCCUCGCUGGGCAGAAGGCUCCAGGCAGCACCUGCCAAGAGGACAGUGAAGGGGCGCCCUUGGGCUCAUCUGCGCUCUGAUAAGAAGCGUAUCCAGUUUCCAAGUCUAAAGUGAUCCUGGCAAACUCGGUUCUGUGAUUAGAAGUGCACGGAACAUGGAAAACUAUUAAUGAGCAGAGGAACAUCUUGGUGUGUGGCCCGUGCCAGGGGGAGAAUGCAGUGUGCUCUUAAUGAACCUGACCAAGUUACCGCCAAGCUGCCUGCACCCCGAGAUCUCACCAGCUGUGACCUCACGUCGCCCAUCUGAGUGCUUAGGCAGGAGGGAUGAAACUGUUCUUCUGGCUGAAGAUCACUGCAUGCACUCCCGCAUUGGCGUCAAUUCCCACCUGUUCACGUGGACCUCCCACUUUGCUUCUCCAGCCUAGGCCUCUCCCCUGAGCUUUGGAGCUGUCUGAAUGUUGAAU
RNAcentral lists this long non-coding RNA (639 nucleotides) under Microcebus murinus (gray mouse lemur). RNAcentral describes it as "lncRNA (ENSMICG00000048503.1)". Lineage: Eukaryota; Metazoa; Chordata; Mammalia; Primates; Cheirogaleidae. The record is from RNAcentral.